This 506-nucleotide ribosomal RNA is filed under the name uncultured bacterium. RNAcentral describes it as "partial 16S ribosomal RNA". It matches the Rfam family "Bacterial small subunit ribosomal RNA", at positions 30 to 523 of the family's 1533-position model. The record is from RNAcentral.
AUUGAACGCUGGCGGCAGGCCUAACACAUGCAAGUCGAACGGCAGCACAGAAGAGCUUGCUCUUUGGGUGGCGAGUGGCGGACGGGUGAGUAAUGUCUGGGAAACUGCCCGAUGGAGGGGGAUAACUACUGGAAACGGUAGCUAAUACCGCAUAACGUCGCAAGACCAAAGUGGGGGACCUUCGGGCCUCACACCAUCGGAUGUGCCCAGAUGGGAUUAGCUAGUAGGUGGGGUAAUGGCUCACCUAGGCGACGAUCCCUAGCUGGUCUGAGAGGAUGACCACCCACACUGGAACUGAGACACGGUCCAGACUCCUACGGGAGGCAGCAGUGGGGAAUAUUGCACAAUGGGCGCAAGCCUGAUGCAGCCAUGCCGCGUGUAUGAAGAAGGCCUUCGGGUUGUAAAGUACUUUCAGCGGGGAGGAAGGCGGUGAGGUUAAUAACCUCGCCGAUUGACGUUACCCGCAGAAGAAGCACCGGCUAACUCCGUGCCAGCCGCCGCUGUAA